ACAGAAGAAUAGAGAGGCUGUUGCAGCCCCGUGCUUUCUCCUGCUGCUGGCCGAUUGCUUGCUCUGAACUAACCCUCUAACCCUUGGGAGUCUGUGUGCAGCAGUGAUGUGAGCUGCAUCCGGGCUGAAAUGGGAGCUCCCGCUAUGGCACUGGCUCAAGGAGCUUAUCUAAAGAGAAAGUAUUUUGGGGAAGACAUCUUGGUUGCACCCCUCAUUGCAUCUUGACUAAUUGCUUCCAACUCCGGGGGCUUCCAGGGACAAUCUCAUUGUUCUUUUCUCUCCAAGGGUCAGCCAUGUUAACCAUUUGUUAAUUUCUUCUGAACAGAUCAAGCAAAAGUAGAUAAUCAGCCAGAAGAAUUAGUGCGUAGUGCUGAAGAUGUGAAGGUGCUGAACUUUGGCACAUGACUUGACAAAUUCUUAAGAACUGCCUAGGAAAGAAGAGAGUCCAGGCUUCAGCUCUUGUGAGUAUGUGCUCUCUGUCUGACUAUUGCAGAUGAAACAAGCCUUCUGCCCCUAAGGGGUGUUAGUUUCCACAGUGCCUACACAACCUGAUAAU
Molecule: small RNA, 556 nt
Filed under: Pan troglodytes (chimpanzee)
Lineage: Eukaryota; Metazoa; Chordata; Mammalia; Primates; Hominidae
Description: processed transcript
Source: RNAcentral